Molecule: ribosomal RNA, 472 nt
Filed under: uncultured bacterium
Lineage: Bacteria
Description: bacterial SSU rRNA
Rfam family: Bacterial small subunit ribosomal RNA
Source: RNAcentral
AGGGUUUGAUCCUGGCUCAGAACGUACGCUGGCGGCACGCCUUAUACAUGCAAGUCGAACGAAGUAGCAAUACUUAGUGGCAGACGGGUGAGUAACAUGUGGGUAUCUUCCCUUUGGUGAGGAAUAACACGAGGAGACUUGUGCUAAUACCUCAUAAGUCUUUACGGAGAAAGCUUUAUGCGCCAAUGGAUGAGCCCGCACUUGAUUAGUUUGUUGGUGGGGUAAUGGCCUACCAAGACUUUGAUCAAUAGCUGAUCUGAGAGGAUGAUCAGCCACAUUGGGACUGAGACACGGCCCAAACUCCUACGGGAGGCAGCAGUAGGGAAUAUUGCACAAUGGAGGAAACUCUGAUGCAGCGAUGCCGCGUGAGUGAAGAAGGCCUUUGGGUUGUAAAGCUCUUUCGUCGGGGAAGAAAAUGACUGUACCCGAAUAAGAAGGUCCGGCUAACUUCGUGCCAGCCGCCGCGGUAAUA